UGGGAAGGCCUUGCACAUCACCUGGUCUGGUGCAACCUGUAGAUUCAUGACGUCCGUGUAUAUGUUCAGAUGAUUGAUUGGAUCGGUGGUCCCAUCAUAUUCUUUGAUCCUAGGAUACUUAAAUCUGUCUGGCAAGGGGAAUGUUAAUAUCUCGGGAGUAAAUGGAGGGUUGGGACUGAAUCUUGUCAUCCCUUUGUUGCCCUGAAGUAGGCCCGCCGUAAUUCCUUCUUGAAUAAUCCUAGCGAAUUCCCCGGGCUCCAUGGUCACUGAUCUCAAGGCCGAGGUCACAUGGGGUAUACCCGAGGCCCCUGCUCCGCCAUUGUCAGGGACAUGAGCUCGAGCUCGAGCAUCAGCCAUAAAACCCCCCUGGGGUACUGGUGUGGGUGACGGAUGCGAAUUUCUUUGACUUAGCAGCUGAGUCAGUGUGGCGACCUGUUGUCUGAGCUCUUCAAAGGCUCCAGCAGUGACGACUGCCGGCUGGGGCUCUGGCACUUCUGAUGAUUCCUCUUGAGGAACAGGGAUAUCCUCAGGAGGGGGUUGGUUUGGAGCGGAUGAGCUUGCUGGUGGAAGACCUGAACGUGUGUUUACCAUGGCUUUUGGUAGCGUUUCC
Molecule: long non-coding RNA, 610 nt
Filed under: Olea europaea subsp. europaea
Lineage: Eukaryota; Viridiplantae; Streptophyta; Magnoliopsida; Lamiales; Oleaceae
Source: RNAcentral